AAAAGUUGCAUGGUGUAGACCCGAAACCGGGUGACCUAUCCAUGGCCAGGUUGAAGCGAGAGUAAAAUCUCGUGGAGGACCGAACCACGUUGGUGUUGAAAAACCAUGGGAUGAGCUGUGGAUAGCGGAGAAAUUCCAAUCGAACUCGGAGAUAGCUGGUUCUCCCCGAAAUAGCUUUAGGGCUAGCGUCGUGUAAUUGAGUAAUGGAGGUAGAGCACUGAAUGGGCUAGGGGCUAUAGUAGUUACCGAACCCUAUCAAACUCCGAAUGCCAUAUACUUGUAUCACGGCAGUCAGACUGCGAAUGAUAAGAUCCGUAGUCAAAAGGGAAACAGCCCAGACCAUCAGCUAAGGUCCCAAAGUGUAAGUUAAGUGGAAAAGGAUGUGGGAUUUCUAAGACAACUAGGAUGUUGGCUUAGAAGCAGCCACUCAUUUAAAGAGUGCGUAAUAGCUCACUAGUCAAGAGAUCCUGCGCCGAAGAUGUCCGGGGCUCAAACUUACCACCGAAGCUAUGGGUGUACACUACGUGUACGCGGUAGGGGAGCUUUCUGUAU
Molecule: ribosomal RNA, 552 nt
Filed under: Clostridium sporogenes
Lineage: Bacteria; Bacillati; Bacillota; Clostridia; Eubacteriales; Clostridiaceae
Description: partial 23S ribosomal RNA
Rfam family: Bacterial large subunit ribosomal RNA
Source: RNAcentral